GGGCCCGCACAAGCGGUGGAGUAUGUGGUUUAAUUCGAUGCAACGCGAAGAACCUUACCAGGGUUUGACAUCCUGCGAAUCUCUUGGAAACAGGAGAGUGCCUUCGGGAACGCAGUGACAGGUGGUGCAUGGCUGUCGUCAGCUCGUGUCGUGAGAUGUUGGGUUAAGUCCCGCAACGAGCGCAACCCACGUCUUUAGUUGCCAGCAUUCAGUUGGGCACUCUAGAGAGACUGCCGGUGAUAAACCGGAGGAAGGUGUGGAUGACGUCAAGUCAUCAUGCCCCUUACAUCCUGGGCUACACACGUACUACAAUGCUACGGACAAAGGGCAGCAAGUUCGCGAGGACAAGCAAAUCCCAUAAACCGUGGCUCAGUUCAGAUCGUAGGCUGCAACUCGCCUACGUGAAGGCGGAAUC
Molecule: ribosomal RNA, 415 nt
Filed under: uncultured bacterium
Lineage: Bacteria
Description: bacterial SSU rRNA
Rfam family: Bacterial small subunit ribosomal RNA
Source: RNAcentral